Molecule: microRNA precursor, 76 nt
Organism: Ancylostoma ceylanicum
Lineage: Eukaryota; Metazoa; Nematoda; Chromadorea; Rhabditida; Ancylostomatidae
Rfam family: mir-44 microRNA precursor family
Source: Rfam
CGUAGUCCGAUCUGGAUGUCCCUCUGAGUCAUACUCGAUGUGAUAUGACUAGAGACACAUUCAGCUUGGCUACAUG